GACGUAGGGGGCCAGCGUUGCUCGGAAUCACUGGGCGUAAAGCGCACGUAGGCGGCUUAUUAAGUCAGGGGUGAAAUCCUGGAGCUCAACUCCAGAACUGCCUUUGAUACUGAUGAGCUUGAGUUCGGGAGAGGUGAGUGGAACUGCGAGUGUAGAGGUGAAAUUCGUAGAUAUUCGCAAGAACACCAGUGGCGAAGGCGGCUCACUGGCCCGAUACUGACGCUGAGGUGCGAAAGCGUGGGGAGCAAACAGG
This 253-nucleotide ribosomal RNA is filed under the name uncultured bacterium. Its description in RNAcentral is "partial 16S ribosomal RNA". It matches the Rfam family "Bacterial small subunit ribosomal RNA", at positions 524 to 776 of the family's 1533-position model. The record is from RNAcentral.